UGAACUUCCAGACAGCAUUUGCAACUUAAGGUCUCUGGAGACUAUGAACCUCAAUGGCUGCUCAAAACUUUGUAGUUUGCCAGAGCAUUUGGGUAAAUUGGAAGCUUUGAGAAAGCUUGUUUUAAGUGGAUCUGCUAUUACAGAGUUGCCUUCUUCGAUCGGACUUUUGAAGAACCUUGAAGAUCUAUCUUUGGCUGGACUUAGAAAAGAGUUACCUUCUAAGUCUUGGUUCUCAUACUUUUCCUCAUGGAUCUCACCAAAACGUAGUGUGGGUUCUUCUUCUUUACUGCUACCAGCAACGUUCUCUCAGUUAAGCUCAUUAAGAGAGCUUAAUCUUGGUGGCCUCAACUUGUCUGACCAUGAAAUUUCCAUUGACUUUGGGAGUUUCCAUUUUUUGCGGAGAUUGGAUUUACGGGGAAACAACUUCUGUAACGUACCCGCAGGAAUCAGCAACCAUCCAUGGUUAGACAGACUUAUAUUGAAUAACUGCAAAAACCUUCGAUCCAUUACAGAGCUUCCUAAAAAUUUAAAGGAAUUAUACGCAGAGCAAUGCACAUCAAUUGAGAGAUACCCAAACUUAUCAAACAUAGGUAGAGAUCUUAAUAUAAUCGCAUUUAGUAAUUGUCGCGAAGUAGCUGACAUUCAAGGUUGGGAUUUUCGCUCAUUUUAUAAAUCAUCUUUUUGUUCGCCUCUUCGACCAGAUCCUAACGAGCCAGAGGUCUUUCUCUAUCUCUCUCUGUAUACAUAUAAUAUAUAUUAUCAUGCAUGAUAAUGUUGAUAACUACUAGUAUUUCUUUAAAACAGAAGCGGUUGCUUUCCAAGUUCAAGUAUUUGGAAGCUAACUUCCCAGCAAGAGAGGUGCCAGAUUGGUUCGACUAUAAAGAAAUUGGAUCUUCAAUACUGUUUUGUAUGCCUUCAAUCCCAAUUGGUUUAGAUCGAGGUAUGAUUGUAUGCGCAAUCUAUUCGGUCAAUGAAGAAUGUAAUGACGAAAGCACUUCUGCAGCUUCUCUUACCAUAUAUUUUAAGAAUAAAACAAAGGGCUGUGAGACUUUUGAUGUGUCAUGUGGUUCCGUCGAUGGGAAUAUAUGUCAAGAUCAUGCGUGGGUGAGUUACAUGGCACCUAGUUUUAGAGAUGAUGUAAAAUCUUUUAUCGAUGAUGUAAACGCUGAAGAAGGAGAUGAAAUUGAAGUUUCAAUUGAGCCGCAUGGUGGAAUUCUUGUGAAGAAAUGUGGUAUUCAUCUGCGAAUUAAUGGGCAGAUGGGGUUAAGUUUUAAGAGCCUUUAUUGAUUUAUUUUAUUUAUUGUUGAGACCAAUAUUAAUUUUAUUAGUUGUCAAUAUCAUAAUAGAGAAAUAUUUUCAGAAAUAAAUUACAUCUUAAAGAUUUAUUUGCAUGAUAAUUGAGAGGUCAAUGAUUGAAUGAUAAUUUAAUUUUAUAUAUUGAAACAAAUAUGUUAAAAUAUUGAUAUUGAAAUUAUUGUACAAAUAUUUUUAAAAUAUGAAAUCAUGUUAAAAAUAAUUGUAAAAUUUUUAAAAAUUGUAAGUGAAGAUGGAAGUUUUAAUUUUUAUUAGCAUUAUCUUAUUUUUAUUUUAUUUUUAAUUUAAUAUAUUUAAAUUAAACCAAUAAAAUUUCUAACUAUGUUGUUAAUAACCAAUACCUUGUAGCCAACCACCUAGCCAAAAUCGAAUUAUUCCAAUAUUGAUGCAGAACAAAGAAGAUUGUUGAGCAAGAAGAGCAAAAAUCUAGAAGGCAAAAGGUUGGAAAAGUGCACAAAAGUAAAAGGAAGUGUGACUUGUUCCGUACAAAUUAAGCACACUUGGAUUAGUUUCCUUUUUAUUUCAUGGUUUAUGCUUCAGCCUCCAAUUCUACAUUUGUGUUCUCAGUAGCUUCCAAUUCAAAAUCUCCCUUCUGUUUUCUUAUAUAUGGAGGUAAGAAGAAUGAACAAGGUUUGGAUCUUGAUUCUCAAUUUUUUUAGGUGAAUUGUUAGGUUUUUAAACUCAAAUUUAUUAUAGUAAAGUUGUUCAGUAACAUUUUUGUUUUGAUAAAUUAAUUUAAGAUUUUUUUACUGUCUAUAAAUAAGUGAUUAUGUUUAAGGUUAAUAGUAUUGUUUGGUAAGAUACUCAUAAGCUACUAUUAUACAUGAAAUCAUGUUUGUUGACAUUUUUCUUUUGUUAAAAAAUCAACCACUAUUUAUUAAUUUAUCAUUUUUAAAAUGUUUAUCAAAUACAAUAAAACAAAUAAAAUUAAUUUUAAAAGGUAAUAAUUGAUGCAACAAUCUAAUUAUAUGCACCCUAUAAGAAAUUGAAAAUAUAUAAAACCAAAAAAUUUGCUUAAUUUUUUUUCCAUAAUUGAGAAUAAAAAUAUAUAAUUAUAUGUUUUUUUUUAGUUAUUGAUUUUUUUUUGCAUUAAAUUCAGAAUUUAAAUCUUUGCAAAUGAGUAUAAAUUUUUCUUUAUAGCAUGAAUUUAGUCGAUUACAAUAUUCAUUACCACCUAAUAUGCAUGGCACCUUUUAUUUGAAAUAUUCAAACUUGCCACUAUCAAUCAUUGACCAUAUUAUUGCCACUAAGCAAUAAUUUUGGUUUCCAUAAUUUCAUAUAGUAAUUUUUUUAAUUUAAAAUUUUAAGUUUUGAUUAAAAAAUAUGAAAUAGGCGCUAAUAAAGUCAACAAUUAUAUAGUAAAAAAAUAAAGAAUUUUGAAAUAUUGGUUGUAAAAAAAAUAUAAAAAUUAUAAAAAAAUGAUUUUAAGUGAAAUAAUUUGUAAAAAAAAAUUCAAUUUUAACGAUAAUAACGAUAAAUAUUAAUAAUAAUGACAAAUAUUAAUAAUUUAAAUUUUAUUUUAAUAUAAUAUAAGUAAAAUUUGAUAAUUUUUUUUUAUAAGUUUGAUUUUGAUAACUUUUGAUAAAAUUUUGUAACCUCUAACACAAUUUUGGUAACCUUUAAUAUUAGUUUGAUAACUUAUAAUAUAAUUUUGAUAGCUAUUAAAACAUUUUUAUAAUCUCUUGAUGUAGUUUUAGUAAUUAACCUUCUAAUAACUUAUAAUAUAUUUUUACUAAUCAUUAAUAAAAUUUUUGUAAUUAUAUAUUUAACAAUUCAUUACGGUAAAAAAGUGUAAUUUCAAUUCUAAUAUAAGGUAAUUUUCUUUUUAUACAAUAACAAUAUUGUUUCAUUUAAAUUUAAAAUUUUUUUACUAAUUUUUUUAUUAAAUAGGUUAAGGGUAGGUUUAUCCUAAUUUUUCAAGAUGAAAUUUUUUGUUUCGUUUUUGCUAGUUAAGAAGGUUUAAUUUCUAACAACUUCAAGUACAAAAAUUUGUUCAAUGAUUGAUAAAUAAGUUAUUAUUGAUUUACUAUUCUUUCUUGAUGACAUUUUAGUUCAGCUAGAUGGGAAUGCCCUACUUGGCACGUCAAAAUAUUUGUGUCAAUUUGCCUGAGAGGGAUAAAACCCUUAAAACAUAAGAAAAAGAGAUCGGUGACCAACAAAAGUUGAGAGUGAUUCUGGCGUGUGUGCUCUGCUUAAGUCAAAGUUUGGUCUAGUAAUAAGAAGGGAAAUAAAGGCUUAAAAGCUAAGAGUAUAGUAUGUUUAAAAAUGUCUAGAUGAAGCUAUUUAAACCCAUGUGAUGGGGGAUCGACCAAGGUUAGUAUAAGAGACUAAGGUUAAUUUUAUAAAUUUUAUAAACCUGAGCUGAGUUGGUAAUUGACUGUUCACUCAAGGCAUGCGAGUCAACACCCUAAUACACUAACUGGCAGGUUACUCAAAUAGCCGAGUUGAUGUGGACCCGAGAUUUCAGAUUAAAACAACAUGUUAGCUGGUUGAAAUUAUCAAAAUGACCCCAUUUGUUAGUUGACUUAUUCUCAGGAAUGAAAUGUCUAUUUUAUCCUUUGGACACUAAAAUGCCCUUACAGUUCCAUUGUUUUAUUCCUUUUAUUACUCUAUCUUCGUCCGUUUUCCUUUGGAAAGAUUGAGGAGUUCGUUUAUUUCUCUAGCAGUGAUAGCUCAAAGUAUCAGCCAAUUAAUUUUGCUAGAAAUUCAAUUGAUACUAAAACUCCAUUAGACAACUCAUAGAAGAAGAUUUCUAGUUUUGUUGGUUAAAAUUCAAUGAAGAUGUGCUCAAAGAUUGUCAGCUGAUUACGAGGGCCACUGAUAAAUCCAGUAUGUGUUCAUAUAUAGAAAACUCUGGUUUAGGUCCUCAGAUUGAAAGUUCUGAUGCUUUGGAUUUAUGGAAUCGCAGUUGGUUUUCAACAAACCAAUUCUUACUUGAGGUUAUUUUCCAUAACAGAAUGACGAAAUACAAGUGCUUAACCAAUGAAUUGACCCUCGUCUCUGCUAUUUUUGUGCCAUAUUAUGCUGGUCUGGACCUUCGCUAUCUAUGGGGAUUUAAUACCUUUAUGAGAGAUUCAUCUGGCCUUGAUUUGGUUAAAUGGCUUGCUGGAAAACCUGAAUUGAAAAGAAUGCAGGGUGAGGAUCGUUUCCUGAUUUCAGGGCGGAUUGCUCGCGAUUUCAGGAGACAAUCAAACAGGAAGUCUGAUUGGGGCAGCAACUUCAGGUUCCUGCCAGAAUCUGAGAAAAUGUCCAUGUUGACAAUUGAAUCAGGAUCCUGGAAAUAUGAUUUUGCUGUACCAUACCCCACAUACUUCCAUCCUUCAACAGAUACAGAUGAUUUUCAAUGGCAGGAACUCAUGAGAAUCCAAAACCGGCCUUUCUUAUUCUCCUUUGUUGGUGCCCCAAGAUCCAGACAUAAAGGCUUAAUAAGGAGUGAGAUUAUCAGGCAACGUCAAGCUUCGAACAAUUUAUGCAAUUUAGUAGACUGUGGUUCCAUUGGGGAUAAAUGUGAUAAUCCAGUUAAUCUGAUGAAGCUGUUUCAAAGUUCAGUGUUUUACUUGCAACCUCUAAGGGAUUCAUUGACAAGAAGGUCAACUUUUGAUUCCAUUUUGUCUAGUUGUAUUCCACUCUUUUUCCAUUCAGGGAGUGGUAUUCACAAUAUGUAUGGCAUUAACCAAAAAAACAUACCAAGUAUUCAGUGUUCAUAUCACCAAAGAAAUUGAGACUAGGAAAAGCUCGCAUCAACCAGACGUUGCUUCAAGGUUCGAAGGAUGAAGAAUUAGCAAUGAGAGAAGAGGUCAUAAGAUUGAUUCCAAGGAUUAUUUAUGCCGAUUCCCGGUCUAGAUUUGAGACUGUUGAAGAUGCAUUUGAUUUAGUAAAGGGAAUUCCAAAGAGAAUAGAGACAUUAAGAAAGGUAAAUAGAAAUUUAAAAAUCAUUUGUACAUUUCAAAGUUUUAAACUAUAGUAGGUGAAAAUUUUGUGAUAGUAAACCAAAUCGGAUAUAAAUGUUCAAUUUAUUUUUCCCAGGUAAUUCUCACAGAAUUUGUACAUUUAGCGAUUUACUUUGAUCACCAAAGUAUGCAACUGCCACCAUGCGUGCUAGCCUUGAGCCAGCAAUGUGGAGGCACUUUUAGCUUCCAAAGUCAAUUUAUGCCAAGUGGAUGAAAUAGGAUGAAAUCCUAACCAAGUCUGAUUCAAAAUAAAUGCGUUUUGGUGAUCUACAUUAAACAUAAAUAUAGUCAUGUGUAAAUUUAUAUAAUUUUGUUUCAUAUAAAAUAUAUAUAAAAUAAAAAAAAUUAUUUACAAGUCAAAUAUAUAAUAUAUUUUUUAUUUUUUUUAAAUUUAUAUAAUUUUUUUAAAAUUUUAAAUUAUAUUAUUUUUAUAUUAUAUCUACGUAUUUUAUGCCAAAUUAUCUAAUGAAAUUAAACCCAAAUCCAAAUAAUGGGAAAGUGUAUAGCACAAUCUCUCGCCCUCCAAUGUUGACUUGUUUGUAACAUUCCCCGAAGCCAAUGAGGACAGUGUGAAAGACGAUUAGAGUUCAAUUUCCGAAUACAAAAAUCUUCUUAGUCAGGUAUCGAUCAGCGCCCCCUUGGUAAAACGUUUGUACUGGGACUGAUAACGAAUCUUUAUUCUCUGGAGUCGUGGCCUAGAAGAAAAGUAUCCACUUCUUGAGGACGUCAAGGUUGACAAGUUACAAGGGUGAAAAUUUUUAUUAGGCUUUAGUACUGUAUUUUAUCAUAAUUAAUUACAACAAUUGACAAAUUAAAAUACAAUUAAAUAAUAAAAUUUAUAUACAAUGAAAUUUGCACCUAAAAUCCUAAUAUUCUAUAUUUUUAUAUAUAUUAUGAAUGCAUUUCGAUCACUUUAUUAUAUAUAAUGAUUUAAGUUAAAAUAAUAAAAUGCGAAGGACGAAAGCAGGUUGAAUUGAAAAGAUAAUAUUGAAGUCUACUUCACUGUACAUCCACUACUCCUCAAAGUCAUUUUUCCUUAAUUUUCAUUCCGCGUAUGAAUUUCUUUGGUCAGACAAAAUGAUUUAAUGAACCUGAUAGUAACUCUCCCAAAAAAAAAAAAAUUGCAUUAAUUUGAAUAGUAACAAUUAGUAAUGACCCUUAUUUGUAAUUUUCAGAUGGAUGUACUAAGUUUCCACAAACCAUUUUCUCCAUCGCAUUUUUUUGUUUGUUCCAUGGCUGCCAAAGGUUUCUCCGAAGCAUCUGCUUCCGGUUUCAAAUGGACCCAUGACGUCUUUCUAAGUUUCAGAGGGGAAGACACUCGAAAGAACUUCACGGAUCAUCUUUAUACAGCUUUGGUAAGAGGUGGAGUGGUCACCUUCAGAGAUGACGAUGAACUUCCUAGGGGAAAAGAAAUCUCCUCAGAGCUGCUCAAAGCAAUCGAAGAGUCAAAACUUUCUAUAGUGGUAUUCUCUAAAAGCUAUGCUUCUUCUAGGUGGUGUCUUGAUGAGCUUGUCAAGAUUAUUGAGUGCAAAAACACAACAGGCCAGGUUGUUAUUCCAGUCUUCUAUGAUGUUGAUCCAUCUGAUGUCCGAAAACAGAUCGGAAGUUGUGAAGAAGCUUUUGCUAAACACGAAGAACGGUUUAAAGAUAAGAUGGAAAGGAUCAAAAAGUGGAGAAAAGCUCUAACAGAAACCGGGAAUUUAUCCGGCUGGGACCUUCGAAACAUGACAAAUGGGUAAUAUUUAAUUUUUAAGAUGAAUCAUCCAAAAAAUUCUAAAAUAUAUAUGUAUAUGUACAUCUUCGUUUUUAAAUAAAAAAAUUAAAUGAAACUAAUUUUAAUUGCUAGUUAGUGCUAUUAAAAUUAUUAUAUGCGCCUAAUUUUAAAUUAUUGUAGUCAAUUUAUAUCUUGGUAUGAAUUGGUUUUUAUGUUUGAUGAUUUAAACCUUAAAAUUAAGAGUAGAAAUUCUACACAAUCUAUAUAUACCUGAUAAAAGGUCUAAUUUAUUUUUGUCCUAAAGUUGUUUGUUUGAAGUCUAUAAUGACAAUAUAUCAUAUAUAAUUAUUGUAAUAUAAUUAAUCAAUUAUAAUUUAGUUUUAGUAUUAUGAAGUGUCCAUCAAAAAAUUAUUUAAACCUCAUUUAAGUGAUGAACUCUUAGAUAAUUUUUUAUUAUAAUUAAUUAAUUGUAAUAUUGUAAUAAAGAGAGUUAUAAAAAUUAAAUAAUCAAAAGUGAGUGUUUACUGAUAAUCAAAUUUUCUUGUGUUCUUCUUGUGUUGUUUCAUCCCAAAUAAUUUCACAGGUAUGAAUCGAGAUUCAUCCAAAAGAUUGUCAAUGAUGUUAUCAGAAAAUUAAAACGCAAUGACUUGCACGUCGCCACUCACCCAGUAGCUCUAGAAUCACGUGUUAAAUGGGUGAUGAGAUUAUUAGAUAUUGGAUCUGAAGAAGUUUGCGUAGUGGGCAUCUAUGGAAUGAGUGGGAUAGGUAAGACCACCAUCGCAAAAGCUGUCUACAACCUAAUGGUCUGUGAAGGAUUUGAAGGAUGCAGUUUCCUUUCAAAUAUUAAAGAUGACUCGCAGCAACCUAAUGGUCUUGCUAGGAUGCAAGAGAAGCUCCUUUCUGAUAUCUUGAAUGGGCAAAAAUUCAAGAUAGAUAAUAUUGACAGGGGUGUCAAUUUAAUCAAGGAGAGGCUUUGUUGUAGAAGAGUUUUUAUAGUUCUUGAUGACUUGGAUGAGUCAGCACAAUGGAGACCAUUAGUUGGUGAUCGGAAGUGGUUCGGUCGAGGAAGUAGGAUUCUCGUCACAACUAGAGAUGAACGUUUGCUGACUGAAUUUGAGGUGGAUAAAAGUUAUAAGGUUGAACAAUUGAAUCAUGAGGAGUCAAUUCAGCUUUUAAGUUGGUUUGCAUUUAGGAGGCCUGCUCCAGAAAAUGAUUACUUCGAACUUUCCAACGGUUUGGUGGAGCAUGCUCAAGGACUCCCCUUAGCUCUUGAAAUUUGGGGUUCUUAUUUGUUUAAAAGAAGUCAACCAGAAUGGGAAAGUUUUGUGGGAAAAUUACGAAAGGCACCUCACCAACAAAUUCAAAAGAAGCUUAGGAUAAGCUUUGACACACUAGAUGAUGAUUUAUGGAAAGCCACAUUUCUUGAUAUUGCAUGUUUUUAUGUUGGGAUGAAUAAAGAUUAUGUGAUGAAAAUACUAGAUGGUUGUGGAUUCUUUCCAAAAUUUGGUAUUAAAGUUCUUCUAGAAAGGUCUCUUAUAGCAAUUGACCCACAGGAUCAAAAGCUACAAAUGCAUAACCUACUACGAGACAUGGGAAGAAAGAUUGUUCAUGAAGAAUCACCAUCUCACCCCGGAUAUCGAAGUAGGCUUUGGUUUCAUCAGGAUGUUGUAGAUGUAUUAACGAAACACAUGGUAAAAAGUUAAAUGCACUUUGUAAAUAGAUCUAAAAAUGCACUAAAUGCUAAACUUAACUAGAAUUAAUAUUAUUUUUUAUUUGUAUUUAGGGGAUGGAAGCUGUGGAAGGUCUCAGCUUAGAUGUACCAACACUAGAAGAUGACCUUAUAAGCACCGAAGCAUUUGCAAAGAUGAUCAACUUAAGAUUGCUGAAAAUCGAUUCUGUACAUUUCACUGGUUCCUAUGAAAAAUUUUCCAGAAAGUUAAGAUGGCUCUGGUGGCGUCGAUGUCCACUAAUGGUUUUACCGCCCAACCUUCAUCUAGACAACUUGGUUGUUCUUGAAAUGCAACACAGUAGUAUCAAAAAAGUUUGGAAGGAGACUAAAGUAAUUAAUAUCACUCACAAUACUAUGUGUUUUCUUUUUAUUUUGAUAUUUUAGAUAUUUUUUCUUAGCGCAUAUUAUGGAUUUAUUGUUAUUUUCUUUUUCUUGUUUCAACAGGCUCUUCACAAGCUUAAAAUACUUGAUCUGAGUUAUCGGUAUACCUUGGAGAGACACCAAACUUUGCAAGACUCUCAAGCCUACAAAGACUUGAACUUGAAGGUUGCACAGGUUUAGUUGGGGUUGAUCAAUCUAUCGGACAUCUGGACAAACUUGAAUUCUUGAAUUUGGCUGAGUGCAAGAACAUAAGUGAACUUCCAGACAGCAUUUGCAACUUAAGGUCUCUUGAGACAAUGAACCUCAAUGGCUGCUCAAAACUUUGUAGUUUGCCAGAGCAUUUGGGCAAAUUGGAAGCUUUGAGAAAGCUUGUUUUAAGUGGAUCUGCUAUUACAGAGUUGCCUUCCUCGAUCGGACUUUUGAAGAACCUUGAAGAUCUAUCUUUGGCUGGACUUAGAAAAGAGUUACCUUCUAAGUCUUGGUUCUCAUACUUUUCCUCAUGGAUCUCACCACAAAGUAGUGUGGGUUCUUCUUCUUUACUGCUACCAGCAACGUUCUCUCAGUUAAGCUCAUUAAGAGAGCUUAAUCUUUGUGACCUCAACUUCUCUGACCAUGAAAUUUCCAUUGACUUUGGGAGCUUCUAUUUUUUGAGGAGUUUGAAAUUAGGGGGAAACAACUUCUGUAACCUACCCGCAGGAAUCAGCAACCAUCCAAGGUUAGAGAGCCUUGUAUUGAAUAACUGCAAAAACCUUCGAUCCAUUACAGAGCUUCCUAAAAAUUUAUGGAUCUUAGAAGCAAAGCAAUGCACAUCAAUUGAGAGAUACCCAAACUUAUCAAACAUAGGUGAUCGUUUUGAUAGUAUCCGAAUUAGUAAUUGUUGCAAAGUAGUUGACAUUCAACGGCGGGAGUUUUACCCAAUUCAUCGAUGUUGUUUUAAUUGGAUAGAACCAGAUCUUAACAACCCAAAGGUCUUUCUCUAUCUCUCUGUAUAUACAUAUAGUGUAUAUUAUCAUGCAUGAUAAUGUUCAUAACUAGUAGUAUUUCUUUGAAACAGAAGUCGUUUACUUCCAAGUACAAGUGUUUGGAAGCUCACUUCCCAGCAAGAGAGGUGCCAGAUUGGUUCGACUAUAAAGAAAUUGGAUCUUCAAUACUGUUUUGUAUGCCUUCAAACGCAAUUGGUUUAGAUCGAGGUAUGAUUUUGUGCGCAAUCUAUUCGGUCACUGAAGAAUGUAAUGGCGAAAGCACUUCUGAAGUUUCUCUUGCCAUAUAUUUUAAGAAUAAAACAACGGGCUGUGAGGCUUUUGUUAGGUCACAUGGUUCCCUCGAUGGGAAUAUAUGUCAAGAUCAUGCGUGGGUGAGUUACAUGACACCUAGUUUUUUUAUCGAUGAUGAAAACAAUUUUAUCUAUGUUGCAAACGCUGAAGAAGGAGAUGAAAUUGAAGUUUCAAUUGAGCCGCAUGGUGGAAUUUUUGUGAAGAAAUUUGGUUUUCAUCUGCGAAUUCAUGGGUAGAUGGGGUUUUAAGAGUCUUAAUUGAUUUACUUUAUUUAUUGUUGAGACCAAUAUUAAUUUUAUUAGUUGUCAAUAUCAUAAUAGAGAAAUAUUUUCAGAAAUAAAUUACAUCUUAAAGAUUUAUUUGCAUGAUUACUAAGAAGUCAAUGAUUGAAUGAUAGUUUAAUUAUAUAUAUUGAAAAAAAUAUGUUAUAAAUAUUGAUAUUGAAAUUAUUGUACAAAAUAUUUUUGAAAUAUGAAAUCAUGUUAAAAAUAAUUGUAAAAUUUUAAACAAGUAUGAGUGAAUAUGAAAGUUUUAAUUUUUAUUAGCAUUAUCUUAUUCUUAUUUUAUUUUUAAUUUAAUAUAUUUAAAUUAAACUAGCAAAAUAUCUAAUUAUGUGGCUAAUAACCAAUACUUUAUAAGCCAACCUCCUAGCCAAAAUCGAAUUAUUCCAAUAUUGAUGUAGAACAAAGAAGAUCGUUGAGCAAGAAGAGAACAACCUAAAAGACAAAAGAUUGGAAAGUGCACAAAAGUAAAAGGAAGUGUGACCUGUUUCGUUUCGUACAAAUUAAGCACACUUGGGUUAUUUUCCUACUCAUUUUAUCGUUUAUGCUUCGGCUUCUGAUUCUACAUUUGUGUUCUCCCUAGCUUCCAAUUCAACGUCGCCCAUCUGUUUACCUACAUAUGGAAGUACAAAGAAAGAAUGAGAUUUGGAUCUUGAAUCUUAAUUUUUUAAGUGAAUUGUUAGGUUUUUUUAACUCAAAUUUAUUUCACUAAAGUUGUUUGGUAACAUUUUUAUUUUGAUAAAUCCGUUUAAGGUUUUUUUUUUAUUGUCUGUAAAUAUGUGAUUAUGUUUAAGGUUAAAGAGUAUUGCUUUGUGAGAUACUGAUAAGCUAUUAUUAUACAAAAAAUCAUGUUUAUUGACAUAUUUUUCUAUUAAAAAAUCAACCACUAUCUAUUAAUUUAUCAUUUUAAAAAUGAUUACCAAAUACAUUAUAAAUCAAAUAAAAUUAAUUUAAAAAGAUAAUAAUUGAUGCAACAAUAUAAUUGUAUGCACCCCAUAUGAAAUUGAAAAUAUAUAAAACCAAAAAAUAUACUUAAUUUCUCUCCAUGAUUUAGAAUAAAAAUAUAUGUAAUUAUAUGUUUUUAUUUAGUAAUUGAUUUUCUUGCAUUAAAAUCGGAUUUCAAAUCUUUGCAAAUGAGUAUAAAUUUUCUUUAUAGCAUGAUUAUAGACAAUUGCAAUAUUCAUUACCACCUGAUAUGUAUGGCAUCUUUUAUUUGAAAUAUGGCUCUGCCUCUGCAUAGAUUAUAAUUCACCACAGUGUAGGAUAUUAUGUCUCUCACCUCAGACGCAUCUCUUUCAAACCGAAUAAAUGAAUUAUGAUGUCUAUUUCUUGCAUCAUCUAUCUUCUAUAACGAUAAACAAUGUGGUUCCAAUUGUAGCAUUAGCUAUUGAGACAGUAGAAUUUUUAUCGUACAGACAUAUUUUAACUGUUCCACUUCCAUUAUUUUAACUAUUUCAAUCAGAUCUGGUCGUAUCUAUGCGGUUGACACACGAAGAAUCCCAAGGCUCCCCCCUUGCAGAAAGUGCUGCAGCCUGAGGAUAUUGUUAUGAAGACAGGCCUAGCUUAUCCCCAGACAUCCCACUGCCUUGCCUCUGGAGAUAUAAUGGCAUCACGUGGAAAAGCUGAAGGAAAUGGAUUUCUUCUCCUUGAUUCUGAAUUUAAUGUGAAAGGAAGGUAAUGCUAAAAACCCAAAAAAAGAAAAAAAGGAAAAUGAUCGUGAAUAAUAGAAAUGAUUGCUAGCUGCGGUUUUUGGUGCAUGAUAUUGUGAUUGAACUUUGAAACAAUCAGAUUCAACCUCUUAGCUACUAUUGUGUUCUUCAGGUGGGAUAAACCAGGGCAUAAUCCUCUGUUUGGCUAUGACUUUUGGUACCAACCUCGACAUAAAACAAUGAUCAGCUCAUCAUGGGAUGCUCCUGCAGCCUUCACCAAAGGUGUCAACCUUCAGCCUGUCACAGAUGGUAUCUAUGGGAGACAUCUGUAUAUGUAUAGUUGGCCUGAUGGUGAAUUGAAACUACAUUGGAUCUCGGUGACACUGGUCUCAUACCAUUAGAGGUGUAUUACAUGUUAACAUUAUGAACAUGUUACAACUUUAUUUUUAAGACUAGAUUUUGCUCAAAGAUAAUAUGUAGUUCUGUUUCAUAUUCGUUGUUAUAAUGGUAAGGCCAGAUCCUGGAUUCACCGCAUAUAAUUUUGUCAUUUCUACCAGAUAAGUUUCCUGCGUGAUCCCUCUAAAGACACAGGGUAUGUUGGGUGUGCCUUGACGAGUAACAUGGUGCGGUUUUUCAAAACCCCAGAAGGAUCAUGGAGCCAUGAGGUGUGCGCAUAAAUAACUUUUUACUGUUUUUGUAUGGUUAUUGUUAACGAUGUUUGGUAGUCUUUGCAUUCCACAAGCCUAAUAAUAUGAGUAUCCUUAUCAACUUCUACAGGCGGAAAUCUCAGUGAAACCAUUGGAGGUGCAAAACUGGAUUCUUCUUGAAAUGCCUGGACUUAUAACCCACUUUCUAAUCUCUCUUGAUGAUCGUUUUCUGUAUUUUGUCAACUGGCUUCAUGGAGAUGUCCGACAAUAUAAUGUUGAGGACCCUAAAUAUCCAGUAUUGGCAGGCCAAGUAUGGGUUGGAGGACUGAUUCAAAAAGGAAGCCCUGUACUGGCAGUGACAAAAGAUGGUAAAAGGUGGCAAUCCAAUGUUCCUGAGAUCCAGGUCGGUUCUCAUAUUCAUGUUACUUAUAAACUACAAGUUUGAGCAGUAGUUAAGAAAAUGGCAGAAUGACGUAUGGCCUCAUCAGCGCCACACCUGCUAAUUUUAAACACAACAUGAUGACAUUAAUUUUAAACACAACAUGAUGACAUGAAAGAAGACACGAAUUGUUAGGUUUAAUCAGGGCAUAAUGAUAGGUUUUAUAUAUUCUUGACAUUGUUUUGAAGUUAUCAAACAAGAUUGUCUAUCCCUAAAUUGAAUAAACGAAAACAAGAAAUAUGCCUGGAGAUGCAUGGAGGGGGGGGGGGGGUUCAUUCUGGUUCUUUUUGGCCUGAUUUGUAUGACUACUCGACUUACCAUUUGAUGCUCAGGCUGCCUAGACAAACAGCUUGUUUGACACUUGACAGGCUGUGUGUGCUUUUCUAAUUCUUAGGAAUGGUAUCACAUAGGCAAAUUAAUUCAGCACAGAAAACCCUUCUUUUUAACUUAAUUGUUAGUUGGUAAACUUCUUAUCUUCUUUAUAGGGACAUCGUCUGAGAGGGGGACCCCAGAUGAUCCAGUUGAGCUUAGAUGGGAUGCGGCUAUACAACUCACUGUUCAGCAAAUGGAAUCGCCAAUUCUAUCCUGAACUCGUGGACAAGGGUUCCCACAUGUUACAGAUUGAUGUUGACACUGAGAAAGGUGGUCUUAAAAUAAACCCGAACUUUUUUGUUGACUUUGGUGCUGAACCUGAUGGCCCUUCUCUGGCUCAUGAGAUGAGAUAUCCAGGUUGUGACUGCACUUCAGAUACUUGGAUUUAAGCACCCUGAACCAAUUUAGCAGUGAAGAAUCAUCCUUUAUUGUAGUAGGAAAAAAAAAAUCAAUGCAAUUCCAAUUACAAUGCGUUGAGGCAGGAUCAUCUGGAAAGAUAUAACGUAUGUAUUCAUAAACUGUAGAUCAGCACAUCUAUGUAAAAUUAUAAACAGCUGAAAGUAGUCAAUAAAGAGUCCAAAGUGCAUUAAUGUAUGAUGUAAUUCUCUUUUUUAGCUUUUAGGUAUUGGAAGUGUUAGGAAAGUGGGGUCUAGCCCCAUAUAAUUGGGUUUGGACUAAUCAAAGGCCAUAGGUUUUGAUCUUUCUUUUUACACAAAGCCCUAACUACUUAAUAAAAAUAGGUGAGGCUGUUUUAAGGUGAAAAAAAAGAAGGUGGUGCCAAAAAACUAAAAAAAGAAAAGAGAAAAAAGAAGCCAAGAAAAUAGAAAGAAAAGGAAGAAUGGAGAGUUGGUUGAACAAAAAUCUAUCUGUAGUCUGAUUGAGAUUGAAAUUUUGUCAACAUGUUUAUGAUUCAAAGUUUUACAUUCUAAACGAUGAAGACUGGGUUUGAAGCUCUUUAGAAACAAAUUCAAGGUACAUUUGUUGAGUCACCUAUUUGGUGAGAUUUCUCCAAUUGUCUUUUUAAUUGUUGAUUAGCUUUAGUUUUAGUUAGAGAAGAAUUUUGUAUAUGUAUUAUUUGAUAGUGGAGUUUUUUUUUCUAGUGGUCCAUGGUUUUUCCUCCACAUUUGAGGGUUUGUCACAUAAAUUUUAGUGUGCUUUAUUUUUCCUGCACUGUUAAUUAUUGAUUGUUGUCUAUUACUGUGGGUUUAUUGCGUUAUAUUGCUUCUGCGUUGUUAUGUUUAUUGCUUCAGGCCCAACAAAUGGUAUCAAAGCCAAUUCUAAGGGUGUUAGCGAUGUGCCACCGAGGACGGUGGGCCUACAUUGGAGUGGGAGAGAAUAUCACGGUCCUAGAGAGGAGCCAUGAAUCCUACAUCGAUUGAGUACUAGAGUUGAUCUUGAGAUAUAAAGGUUCAUACCACCCUCUUCUUGUGAGGUACCUUUUGUGGGAUAAAAUCGUAACGUCAAAGAAAGGCCGAAGCAGAUAAUACCUCACAAGGGUGUGAACCUUAGGCUGAUCUGAGAUGCUGGAUUAGUGUAUGCCUAAGUCCUAGAGCCUCGCGGGCCUAGAGGUUGAGUCUUGGCCCAUGACAAGUGAUAUUAGAGCAAAGGUUAUUUUGAGACAUCGAUAUAAAAGUAACCCGAGACAAAAGUAAAUUCUAUUUGAGAUCAUGGAGGGUGAUACACGUUUCAUGAUAAAAUUGACAGCAUCAAAUUAUUUAAUUUGAAAGCCUAUAAUGAAAAUUUUUUUAUACUGCAAAAAUUUAUAUGAGUCGGUAUUAAUGAUUCAGCUAAACCAGCAGAUAUGAAAGAUGAAAGUUGAGAAAAGUUAGGUAAAAAAAUGUUGGCUACAAUUAAAAAAUGGAUUGAUAUCAGCAUGUUCCAUAAUGUAGCAUAGAAGACAAAUGCCCAUACUAUUUGGAAAAAAUUGUCAGCAUUAUAUGAGAGAAAAACAUAUAUGAAUAAAGUCAUACUUGUUAAAAAGCUUGUAACUUUAUAGUAUAGGGAUGGACGAUCAAUUAUAAAGCACUUGAGUGAUUUUUAAGAUAUAUUUAAUCAGAUGACUACUAUAAAGCUUAAGAUGGAUGAUGAAAUAAAGGCAUUGUUUCUUUUAGGUUCAUUGUCAGACAGCUAGAAUACUCUUAUUGUGACUAUUCUUAAUUUAGUUCUUAAUUACAAGGUGACAUUAGAGAUAGUAAAGGAUAGUAUGCUUAAUGAAGAAGCAAGGUGAAAAGAUUUAAACCCUAGGAAUCAAGCUCUGGUCACAGAAAAUAGGGAUAAAAACAUCAACAAAGAUCAAAACUCAAAAGGUCAUAGUAAGUCUAAACAUAGAUCUUAGUCCAUAGAUAAAGUGAAGUGUUUUCAUUAUGAUCAAGCAAAUCAUAUAAAAUGAUACUACAAAAUCUUAAAAUAAGAGUAAAAAGAUGAGAAAGGCAAGAGUUCAGAUGAUAGCAAUGUUACAGCAGUGAAUUCAGAUAGUGAUUCAAUUACUUUGAUUUGUACACAUGAUGAUUGUAAUCAUGUUGGUGAUCCCGACAUUGAGUGGAUAGUGGACACAAGAGCGAUAUAUUAUUAUGUUUCUAAGUGGGAGUUGUUUAUAACUUAUAAAGCAGAAGACUUUGGUUACACCAAGAUGGGAAAUAAAAGUGUGUUGUAGAUUGUUGAGAUUAGUGAUAUUAUUAUACAAAUUAGUAUGAGCUGCAUAUUGACUUUGAGGGAUGUUAGAUACAUUUCGAAUAAGCAAAUGAACUUACUUGCUAUUAAUGUCUUUGAUAAGGAAGGAUAUAAGAGUCAACAAAAAAAUAUAUAGUGAAAGUUUUUCAAAGGAUCUAUGGUAGUUGUAAGGGAAAACUAUGCUGCAAAAUGUACAAGACAUGGAUACAAUUGAAUGGCAACUAGAUAAAUGCCGUUAAGGAUUAUGCUUUAGCAAACUUGUGGCAUAAGAGGCUGGAACACAUGAGCUAAAAGGGGAUACAAGUUUUGGUAAGGCAGUCUCUCAUUCUUUUGACCAAAUGUACGUAUCUCGAUUCAUGUGAACAUUGUUUAUUUGGUAAGCAUCGUAGAGUUUCUUUUAGUAAGAAUUCUCAAAGAAAAGAAAAUAGAUUAGAUUAAUUUAUUCUGAUGUAUGUGGUCCUAUUGAGGUUGAGUUAUUAGGUGGUAGUAGGUAUUUUGUUAUUUUUAUUGAUAAUGCUUCACGUAAGAUUUGGUUGUAUAUGUUAAAAAAUAAAAGCCUGGUAUUAUAGUAUUUUCAAAAAUUUUAUACCAUGGUGAAAAGGAUGAUAGGCUACACUUGAAGUGUAUUCAAACCGAUAAUGAUAGGGAAUACACAUCCAAAAACUUUGAAGAGUACAGUUUAAAGCAUGGGAUCAGGCAUGAGAUAAUAGAACAUAGAACAUCGCAACAUAAUGGUGUAGCUGAAAGGAUGAACUUCACUAUUGUGAAAAAAGUCAGAUGCAUGUUAACGAUGAAAAAAUUACUAAAGCCAUUUUAGGGUGAAACAGUCAACACAACUUGUUAUUUGCUUAACAAAUCCAUCAAUUUCUUUGGGUUUUGACAUUUGAGAAAAAGUGUAGAUAAGGAAAAAUACUUCAUACUUUCACUUGAAAGUUUUUGGGUGUAAAGUAUUCAUGUAUGUGCCGAAAAAGUAAAGGUUAAAGUUGGAUAGUAAUGCCACACAAUGUGUGUUUGUAAGACAUGGUGAUGAAAAAUUUGGCUAGAGGGUAUGAGAUAUAGUGAAGAGAAAUACAGUCAGAAGUAAAGAUGUGACCUUCCAUGAAAAAAAAUCAUAGCAGAUCUUAAAAAAAAAAAGAAGACUACAUGAGUUACUAUUAAGUGUGAUGUUUCAAAACCAAUAAAGUUCUACAAAAAAGAGCUACAGAAGGUGAAAAUGAGCAAAAAAAAGAACUUAAGGAUAUGAAUGAGCCAACUACAGUUAAUGAUGAGCCAGAUACAAUCAGUUUUAAGUAGGGUGAGUAGUUUUCUCAACCAAAAAGUGUUAAUCAAAGAGAGCCACCUUCGACAUUAUGUGGUGUAAAGUCUCAGCCUAAGAGAUCUACUAGAUAGCCCAAGCCAUCUACCGAGUAUCCAAGUUCAAAUUUUAUUUUAGUUACUAAUGAAAGAGAGCCAGAGAACUUUCAAAAUGUGAUGUUAUUCCGAAUAGAGAGCACUAGUUAAAAGCAAUGAAAGAAAAGAUGGAGUUAUUACAAAAAAAAUGGUACAUAUGAUCUUGUUAAACUUUCAAAAGAGAGAGGGCCGCUAAAAAUAAAUAGGAGUUUAAGUUGAAAAAAAAUGGUGACAAGCUAGUGAAGUAACAAGCUCCAUUGAUGGUGAAAGGUUUUUCUCAGAAAUUAGGCAUCAAUUUUGAUAAGAUCUUCUCUUCAGUUGUGAAGAUGAGUUCUAUUCAAGUGGCAUUGGGAUUAGUAGCUAGUUUGAAUCUUGAGCUUGAACAACUUGAUGUUAAAACUACUUUCUUACAUGGUGACUUACAGAAAGAUAUUUAUAUGAAUCAGCCUGAGGGUUUUAAAGUGAAAGAGAAAGAGCACUUAGUUUGCAAAUUGAAAAAAAACUUGUAUGGAUUGAAACAAGCUCUGUGACAGUGGUAUAAAAAGUUUGAUUUUUUUAUGAUGAGCCACAGCUAUAGAAAAAGAGCAGUGGAUAAUUGUGUAUAUGUCAAAAAAAAUUUUGAUGGUAACUUCAUUAUUCUCUUAUUAUUUGUUGAUAAUAUGUUGAUUGUGAGACAAGAAGCUAGUAUGGUUCGUAGGUUGAAAAAACAGUUGUCUAAGUCUUUUAACAUGAAGGAUUUAGGUCAAGCAAAGUAGAUACUCGGUAUGGACAUUAUCUAGGAUAAAAAAGUUGGAAAGCUAUGGUUGUUAUAGAAAAAGUAUGUUGAAUGGGUGCUUAGUAGAUUCAACAUGCAACAUGCUAAAUCAGUUAGUAGUCUACUUAUCAACCAUUUUCAUAUAAGUAACAAAUCUUGUCCGAUGACUAAAGAAGCGCAACUAGCUAUAUCUAGUAUUCCUUAUUAUUUUGUAAUCGGUUCUUUGAUGUAUCUUAUAGUUUACAUGCAGCUUGACAUUGCUUACGUAAUUGAUGUAGUAAGUAAAUUUCUUUCUAAUCUGAGAAAGGUUCAUCAAAAAACAGUAAAAUGAAUUUUUAGAUAUCUAAGGGACACUUCAAAAAUGUGCUUGAGUUAUGAAGUUUAACAACCAGUUCUAAAAGGGUUUACUGAUGCUGACAUAGCAGGUAAUCAUAAUGGUAAGAAAUCUACUUCAAGGUAUUUGUUCACUUUUGUAGGAAGAGCUGUAUCUUGGCAGUCUAAGUUACAAAAGUGUGUUGCUUUAUCAUCUAUAAAGACUAAGUAUAUUUUAGCAAUCGAAGCAGGUAAAGAAAUAUUUUAGAGGAAAUAUUUUCUUUUUGAAUUAAGGUUGAAUCGAAAAGAGUAUGUGAUAUUCUGUGAUAGCCAAAAUGCUUGAGAUUUGAGUAUGAAUGUCAUGUACCAUACUAAAAUGAAGUAUAUUGAUGUUAGAUAUCACUAGUUAUGUUCAGUGAUUGACGAACAGUAAAUACUAUUGAAAAAAGUUCAUACUGAUAAAAAUGUAGCAGAUAUGUUGAUUAAGACACUUUUCAAGGAUAAGCUUGAGCUCUACACUAACUUGACCAAAAUGAAUUCCUUGGCUAAGGUAAAUUCUAAAUGAAACUACUAUAGUGAUGAAUCUCCUCCUAAUGGGGCUAAAAGGAGAGAUUGUUAGAAAAGCGGGGUCUAGCCCCAUGUAAUUAGGUUUAGACUAAUUAAAGGCCAUAGGCCUUGGUCUUUCUUUUUACAUAGAGCCUUAGCUACUUAAUAAAAAAAGGUGAGGCUAUUUUAAGGUGAAAAAGAUGAAAAUAGUGUCAAAAAACCCAAAAAAAAAGAGAAAAAAGAAGCUAAGAAGAUAGAAAUAAAAGGAAGAAUGGAGAAUUGGUUGAACGAAAAUCGAUCUGUGAUCCGAUUAAGCUGAAACUUUGCCAGCAGGUUUAUGAUUCAAAGUUCUACAUUCUAAAUGGUGAAAAUCAGAUUUGAAGCUCUCUAGAAACAAAUCCAAGGUAUAUUUGUUGAGUCAACUAUUUGGUGAGAUUUCUCCAAUAAUCUCUCUAGUUGUUGAUUAGCUUUAGUUUUAGCUAGAGAAGAACUUUGUAUAUUCAUUAUUUGAUAGUGAAGAUUUUUUUCUUAUGAUCCAUGAUUUUUUCCUCUACAUUGAAAGGUUUUUCAAUGUAAAUUUUUUGUGUGCUUUAUUUUUUCUGCAUUGUUGAUUGUUGAUUGUUAUCUAUUAGUGUGGGUUUAUUACAAUAUAUUGCUUCUGCAUUAUUGUAUUUAUUGCUUCAGACCCAACAAGUGGUAUUAGAGCUAGCUCUAGGGGUACUAGCUAUGAGCCAACAAGGAUGGUAGACCUUUGUUGGAGUGGGAGAGGAUGUCAUGGUCCUAGAGAGAAGCCAUAAAUCCCACAUCAGUUAGGUACUAAAGUUGAUCUUGGGAUAUAAGGGUUUACAUCACCCUCUUCUUGUGAGGUAUCUUUUAUGGGACAAAACCGUGAGGCCAAGAAAGGGCUAGAGUGGACAAUUUCUCAUAAGGGUGUGGAUCUUAGGCUGAUUUGAGAUAUCGAAUGAGUGCAUACUUGGGUUUUAGAGUAAUGCGGGCCUAAAGGUUGAGUCUCAACUUGUGACAAAAAGAUUGCUUUUAAAAUAAAAUUAUGGUAAUAUCAUUUUAAAAUCUGAUAUAUAACAAUUUGUUAUAUAUAAAAGUGAUAGAAAUUCCAUAGGUAGACUAUGAAAGAACAAGGUACCUACUACAGAAAUCCUAAUUGAUAAGAUGUUAGACUAUUGAAGAAACUGAUUAUGGCUUCUUGAUUUGCCUAAAGAAAACAUAUAAUAAUCGAACAACAUGACCUUAAUUGAAAACACAAUACCUGCCUCUACCACAAACCAUUAAAUGCUAUCUCUAUGAAUGAACCAUCUUCCAAUCAUAACAAUUUCGUUGCUUAUGAAGGAAAAUGAGAUCUCUAUCAAAAGAGGAACAUCAUUCUUUUUUGAUUAAUCACUUCUUUGUUGACCUUCAACUUUCUUCAAACCAACCCAAUUUUGAUACGAAAUGUGGAUGCUAUAUAAGGAAAGAAAUAAUAACCCCCAAAAAACCAUUAAGUUCCCAUUUGCAAAGUCCUGGUUAUUGCUCUCAUAAACUAUAGUAAGAUUAGUUGCCAAGAACAAUAAAUGGUGCCAAUAGAGGUUGGCAAAUGACUUUUCCAUUUUCAGGCAAUUACAAAUGAUGAAGAAGUAGGGCGGUACUGAUAGAAAAGCUACUAGCAAUGUUAAAUGGUAUGAAAGGAAAAGUUCACAAAUGAGGACCACUGAGAGUAGACCAGAGAGCCCAUACGUACAUAUUGGACACCAUUUGAGCCCAAAAGCUUAAGCUAUUAGGUUAUUGGGUUCUUCAUGCAUAUAUAAGACAUUUCAUUUAGAUUUUCUAAUGAUGUGAGAUUCUUUACUCACAUGUGAACCAUAUCCCAACAAUCUCCCUCGUUCACUUGUGAGCUCUAAUCAAGUCCUACCUUGACUCUCUCGUGCGAGUAAAUCCUAUCAACACCUCCAUUAGGCUAAGCAACCUCACAUCUCUAGUGCUCUUUUUUAGGUAGGCCACAACACUCAACCUUACUACCUAGGUUGUCUUAGUGCUCCUUCAAGCUUACACUCUAGGUUAACUCAACAUAUCGCCCCCUUGGCCAGCAACACUAUUGGGACUCAAACCCGUAACUUCUUGAACCCAUCAUAAUUUUAGCUCUGAUACUACUUGUUGGGGAGAUAAACCACACUUGGAGCUUAUGAGAGUACAUCAGAGAGCCCAUACAUACAUGUUGGAUACCACUUGAGUCCAAAAGCUUAAGCUAUUAGGUUCUUUGGUCCUUCAUGCAUAUAUAGGACAUCUCAUUUAAAUUUUCUAAUGAUAUGAGAUUCUUUACUCACAUGUGAAUCAUAUCCCAACACAUAUAGCAAAUCAUGGCUAAAAGCAAGGAAAGCUCUGUUGCAUGGAAAGUUGGCCAUGGUUUUGUUAUCUUUGGUAUAGAAAAUGAACAAUUAAUUUGAUAAAAGAAUUGAGAAAAAUGAAGUUGAUGGGGCUUUGUUUGCUUCAAAUUGAGAUAAGUUCAUAUCUCGGAUGACUUCAUUUACUAGCAUUUUGAGUCAACGGGAGGUAUGAACAAGUUGGAUCAAGAUUAAGACCACUUGACAUGUGACAGCGGCCAUGGUCAUUUUUAAAGGAAGUGAGUCAGUGAAUUAAACUAUAUUGGCUUGGUUUUUUUGGUUUUUUUCCUUUGAUUUCUUUUUUUUUUUCAUUUUCCACCGAUAUUUUCAAAGUAGGGCCCCAUGCUGAAUAAAUUUAACAUAACACUAUUUUUUUUUCCAAUAGUCACACUAUCCCUUAAUUUUAACUUUCCCAAGAUUUCUAUAAGGAUUACUAUGAGAUGAUUCUGAUAAUUAAAAAGUAAUUAAAUUUUAAAUGCAUUUAGUUGAUGCAGGGGAUCUUAAUCUUAAAUGGAUUCAGUUGAUGCAGGGGAUUUUAAAAUCGUAUGAAAAAAAUUAUAUUUAGACAAAUCAUGAGAUAAGUGAACUGUCUUAACAAGAAAAAAAAUGGUAGAUGGGUAGAAAUAUAUAUUUUUUAUUUUAAGAAAAAUUGAAACCCUUCCCUUUGAGUAGGCGAUUUAUGCCUACCAUUGAGACAUGCUCAAGUGAGCAGUUGUUUCUCAUAUAAAAAUAUAAAUCACAAUUUGAAGCUGAUUUAAUAAAAUUUCUACCAUCUAAUCAUUAGCACUUCAGCAUCAUUACCCAUUUGUGUUGAAUUCUUUUCUGCCUUUGCAAAACAGAUAUUUCAUUUAGUAUUUUCAGACAUUUCUAAGUCAAACUGAAAUAUUUUCAUAUAUACAAAAGUGGAAGUCAUCAAAUUGCCUGACUUUGAAUCUUAAUCAACUUCAGAAUAGUUUUGUAAGCUUCCCCCCUUUUUACUAACAAUUGCCUCUUCAAACAACCUAUAUCCCUCUUCACAACAGUUAUUUCUUGCUUGACCACCUCAAUUCUAUCUCUCAGCUGCAAAUCUUUCUUCCUGUCUUCAUCACAGCCUUUUCCAUCAGCUGUUUAACAAAAUGAAAGCAUUGAUAAUCAGCAUGGUGAAUCACAAUGAUCUCCUACUUUCUUUUGGGCUGGCAUAUUGACCUCUUUCAAGAGCUUCUUCUCCAUGGCCAUGUUAUUGGUUCCAUGAUGCAUUCGAAAACAAAAGAUCUGGGUCAAAUUUUAGCCGUCCCGUAAGGACCCCAAAGCAGGAAAGAAGAUAACGGAACCAAUUAACCAAUUAAGUCUAGGAUUCAUCCUUUCAUGGAUAUUAAUCUUCUCUUCUGUAUUGAUACUCUCUCCUUAUACGCAUUGUUUGCAAAAGUGAGUUUGUCUAGGUCUCGUUUAGAGAAGCCACUUUCUUCCCAUUAUCGGUUCACCUACUUCUGAAACACUUCUCUCUAUAUUCUAAAUGGUAUAAUUGGGAAAAUGCCUGGCGUUCAUCAAACCGUUCAUAAUGUCCAAAAAAACUAGGUCAUCUUUAGUUUCUAAUAAAUUUUGCAGAAAUUAAGAUUUAAUAAAAAAAAACUAUGGUGUACUUUAAUUAUAGUUUCACUUAGUUUUUCUUGCCUCAUUCUUCUUGUUCUUGAAUCGUUAUAAGCGACAUCUACAUUAAGAACUGAGAACUGAACUCAAAAUAUGAAUAUCUAUGGUUUCAUUCAUAUAGUAACCCUUAAAAAGUAACAUUUAAAUGCAACAGGUCUAAAUUUUAAAAUUGCAGCGUUGCAAUGUCUUUUUAUUUUUUAUUUUUAUCUCAUUUUGCGACUUUAGAUAAUUUGAAUAUAUAUCUCAAAAUUUACAUCAUAAUAUUGGUAGCCAUGCGCACGUCACGUGAGUUCAACUCAAAGUAACAAGGGUACACGCAAUCAGAUUUUAGUAGAGAUUUUUAAGUCAUAAUGCUUCUCUUGUAAAAAAAAAAAAAGAAAUCAUAGCCAAGUUUGCUUUUAAUUGUUUGAAUUGUUAUAAUGCAAUUGAAUUGAUAUAAUUAAGCCUAAUUGUCUCCUUUAUCUUCUUUGCGAUUCAAAAUAAGUCUUUAUUCAUGUUUGCCAUCAGCUUCAUAACCAUAUCAUUAUAUUUUAUUUUCAAUUAUUAGAUCUACUUAUGCUUCAAGUUAACUAUAAAUCAAUUCAAACCUCACCAAAAAAAUUUUUAUCAAAUUUUUUUGAGUUAGUCGCUUAUCAAAAUUGUUCAAUGCAAUAUGAAACAUACGAGCAAAAUAAUCACAUAACUAAUAAAACGAGAUGAUUUAUCAAUUUCUAAUUUCGAUUAACAACUAUCAUGUUUAUCUCAUUACCUGUGGAGCAGGAAUCAUUGUAGUUUCAUUUUUUAAAACAAAUUUCAUAAACCUAUAUAAAAAUUUGACAAUAUGAGAAUUAAAUUGAAAAAAUACCUAUAUGUAUAAGUGUAAGAAACACAUGAAUAUAACAUUGUCCAUAAAAAAAUUAUAUAAAAAAAAUGUGUUUUUAUAAAGAAACGCCCAAACUUAGGGGCUAAGAUAAGAGAAAUUGCGCCAGACAAAUAAUACAAUGAAAUGAAGUUAUUGCUUUCUUGUUUUCGAAUUAAUUAAUGGAGCUCUUGUUAUGUAACUUCUUGUUUUAGGCAAGAAAAUGUGCCUAAACGUUAUUUUAUAACUUUGGGCUUGAUCAAAAUGUAAGUCUUAACCUUGUCUUGGUCACCUAUAAUUUUUUUUUUUAAUAUUAGAGCCCAGUCCAAGCUUUACUGGAGUUGAUCUAAUGACACAGCUCUACAAGUGGCACAACAAAAGUUGGACCCAUUGAGUUAAAUUGCGUUCUAUUGUUUGAAUUGCUCUUGAUCAAAAUUUAAUUUUUAGCAAUUUUUUAUAUAGGAAAAAAAAUUAUGAAUUCAUUUUUUUUAAAAUUUUGUUUACUUUACUCUAAAAAAAAAUGUUACUUUAGUAAUUUUGAUAACAGAAUAAAAAACUCCAUUGUCUGUGAUAAUUUUUCAAACAUUAUUUAGGUUUUAUUUAGUUUUUUACAUGCUAUAUUAAGCUAUGAGACAAAAUAUAAUCCUUUUAAUUUCAUCUUAAAUUUCAAACCUAAUGCUUUCAAGAUAAAAUCUUAAACUUAAAGAAUUCGGAGGAUCCCUUACUUUUAUUAGUUCAGGAUCAAAUUUUUAUUUUAAAAUAAUGUUAAUUAUUUGAACUUAAAUAUGUGUGUAUACAUAUACAUAUAAAUUUAUGUAUGAAGAUGUAAAUUUCAUCGUUUUUAAAAUUUUCAUUUUAAGACUUUUUGUAGAAAAAUUUAUUUAACCAUUCAAUUUAAUUUAGUAAAAAAAAAAGCUAAAUUGAUAUACUUUAGUAUAUUUUCUUCUAAACAAAUCUAAAUUUCAUUUUUUAUUGAGUUAUUGAUUUUUUUUAUUUCUUUUUUUAAAGCAAAUUCCAAGGAAAAUAAAAGGCAAGGCCUAAUUGAAUGAAAAUUGUCUUUCAAUGAUAUAUUUAAUUUUUAAAACAAUACAAAUUAUUUGAAUUUAAGUGUAUAUAUUUUUUAUUUACGUGUAAAGAUAUAAAUAUACAUAAAACACAACUUUAAUUAGAAAAAGAAAAGCAAUCUUGUAAGGGGCUAAUUACUUGACACUCAUCAAGCCAUUAUUGAAAGAAACUUUCAAAAAGGAAAAUAAAGUUGCUUGUUUCAUUGAAGAUAAUAUUGAAGUCCACAUCACUGCAGACUACUCCUCCAAGUUAUUUCCCAUUAAUUUCCAUUCCGCGUAUGAAUUUCUUGGAUCAGACAAAAUGAUUUAAUGAACCUUUUUCUUGGUUGGUUCCUAGUCAUAGUAACAGCGCCCCCCCCCCCCCCCCCACCCAAAAAAAAAAAUGAAUACUAACUAUUAGUAACGAUCCUUACAGUGUAAUAUUCAGAUGGAUGUGCUAAGUUUCCAAAACCCAUUUUCUCCAUUGCAUUUUUUUCUUUGACUUCCCUUGGCUGCCAAAGGUUUCUCUGAAGUAUCUUCUUCAAUUUUUUUAAUUUCUUUUUUAAAGCAAAUUCUAAGAAAAACAAAAGGCAAGACCUAAUUGAAUGAAAAUUGUCUAACAAUGAUAUCUUUAAUUUUUAAAAUAAUAUAAAUUAUUUGAAUUUAAGUUUAUAUAUUUUCUUAUUUAUGUAUGAAGAUAUAAAUAUAUAUAUCAAGUACAAUAUUAAUUAAAAAAAAAAAGAAAAGUAGUCUUUCAAAGAGCUAAUUAUUUGACACUCAUCAAGCAAUUAAUAAUAUUUUAUAAUUUUUGUAAUUCUUUUAGAAAAAUAUUUUUUACAAAGUAUUUUAUAUUAAUUUUAAAAUUUUUUUGUAAUUUUUACCCAAAAGCUUUUUUUUAUCUAAAAGUUUAUUAAACAAUUUAGUUUACCUUAUUUUUAUUAAUAUAAAACAUUAUUAAAACAUCCAAUCAUAAGAUGACAAAUGUCGUCAAAAUUGGAUGCCUUACAAAAUAUAAUAAAUUUGGAGACUAUUUUUUAUUUAAAAGGUACAAAGGUUCUUGAAUUCUACCAAGUUCAUCCUUCUCUAGAUCGAUUUUAAAUAGAUUUAUUUAUGUUGGGUCUAACAAAUUCAUGAGAAGUUAUCUUUCAUAGCCUUUCAGUGGAUUCAAACCUAGAAUAACAAAAAGAAAACGCAACUUGUUGCCAUUGAAAUUAACCAUAUGUUAAUAGAUUUGGGAACUAUUUGAAAUAAUAAUAAUAGAUUUAUUAAAUUUUAAAAUGAAAACUAAUUGAAGGGUAAUUAUAAAGCAACAUGUGUCAUAAAAUGGAAACUUCAAUUGAGCAAUUAUUUACUGUUUCAAUUAGGGGAUAACUUUGUAUUAUGGCAUAGAUUUUAGAUAUGUAAAAUAAUAAUAUAUAUAAAUAUUUGUCACACUAAUGGAGUUCAAAUUUUAGAGAUUUAAGAUAGUAUCGAGUCUAGUAAUUAGUAGCUUUUACCCUUUAUGAAAAAUCAAAUAUUAAAAUUUAAAAGAUUAUCUCUAUAUAUGGUUGAUAAUGAUGAGCACUUGUUGUAAUAAUAAAAGUAAGGUUUUAAAAUUUACAAAUUUAAGUUCAAAUUGCACCACAUAUUCAUUUAAUUUAAUUUUAUAUUGGUUUGGCUUAUUAAUUUAUUUUUUUCCGUAGAAUGAGCAUAAUUUAUAGAGGAAGAGAGAGGAGAUCUUAGUUUCAAAAUCAAGAUUUCUAUAUUAUUCUAAAAUUCUUUAAUCACUAAAUCAAGAAGUUUGAGUAAAGUAUUAAUGUAAUAUAUUAUUAAAUUCAAACAAAAUAUUACACACACUUUGUAAUAAUAAUGUUAAUGUUUAUGUAAUUAGAUAAUAUAUAUAUAUAUGGGAGGAAUCAACUUACACUAGUGAUUUCUAUAUUACACAAAAUAUUACACACACUUUUUAUUAACAAUUGAUUUCAAUAGAUCCAAGGGAUGAGAGACAUAAAUGAAAAAAAAAAAAAGUUUUACAUUUGUUUUUAAUUAUUGAUUUUAAUAGAUCUAUGGAAUGAGAGACACAAGUGAAAAAGAAAUGCUUAACCUCAUCCCUUAAAUUUAUUGAAAUAGAUAGUAAAAAAAUAUAUAAAACUUUUUUGGUGUAACUUAAUUCUUCUCCAUCCAUAUAUAUAUAUAUAUAUAUAUAUAUAUAAUUGAUGGUCUAUGCUUUAUAAAUUCUAAACCAACAAUAACAUAGAUAUGUAGUGCUAUCAUGUUUUUAACAUCUUAAACUAAAACUUUUAAAUUAAUUGAAUAUUUUUCCUCAGAAAAAAAAAAGAAUAUUUUCAACCAUAUGCAUUUUAAGAUAAGAAAUACAUACAUAUAUAUAUAUAUCCUUUUAACAAAAAUUCAAAAAUAUAAAAAAAAAAUAAAUUUGUAUUUAGUAGACCAUGUAAUAUACCAUAAUUAACAUUGAUACUUUUAUAGAUCACAAUGCAAAUAUAUAAUAUAAUUAUAUAUUAUUAGUAAAAAAACUUAUAUAUUAUUAGUAAAAAUAUAGGUAUUUUUAGUAAAAAAAUUUUAAAAUUUUUUUACUAUUAAAUAAGUAUUCAUCAAAUUAAAAUUAUAAAUGAUAUAUAUAUAUAUAUAUUACAUAUUAUUGAUUUUUCAAUGAACUCUAUCAAUCAAUUGAUUUUUACUAGCAAACCGUGGCUAAAAGCAAGGAAAGCUCUGUUGCAGGGAGAGUUGGCCAUGGUUUUGUCGUCUUUGGUAUAGAAAAUGAACAAUUAAUCUGAUGGAAAGAAUUGAGAAAAAUGAAGAUGAUGGGUCCUUGUUUGCUUCAAAUAGAGAUUAGUUCAUAUCUCGGAUGACUUCAUUUACUAGCAUUUUCAGUCAACGGGAAGGUAUGAACAAGUUGGAUCAAGAUUAAGACCACUUGACAUGUGACAGCUGCCAUGGUCAUUUUUGAAGGAAGUGAUUCAGUGAAUUAAACUAUAUUGGCUUGGUUUUUCUCCUUUGAUUUGAUUUAUUUUUUCCCAUUUUCCACCGAUAUUUUCAAAGUAGGGCCUCAUGCUGAAUAAAUUUAAGAUAACACUAUUUUUUUCCCAAUAGUCACACUAUCCCUCAAUUUUAACUUUCCCAAAAUUUCUACAAGGAUUACUAUGAGAUGAUUCUGAUAAUUAAAAAGUAAUUAAAUCUUAAAUGCAUUUAGUUGAUGCAGGGGAUUUUAAAAUCGUAUGAAAAAAAAUUAUAUUUAGACAAAACAUGAGAGAUAAGUGGACCGUCUUAACAAAAUAAAAAAUGGUGGAUGGGUUGAAAUAUAAUUAUUUAUUUUAAGAAAAAUUGGAACCCCUCCCUUUGAGUGGGCGAUUUACGCCUACCAUUGAGUCAUGCUCAAGUGUGCAGUUGUUUCUCAUAUAAAAAUAUAAAUCACAAAUUUGAAGAUCAUUUAAUCCAAGUUCUACCAUCUAGUUUUCUCCUUAUUUUUCGUACUUUUGUCAUUAGCACUUCAGCAUCAUUACCCAGUUGUGUUGAAUUCUCUUCUGGCUUUACAAAACAGUUAUUUCAUUCAGUAUUUUCAGACAUUUAAUUUCUAAGUCAAACUGAAAUAUUUUCAUAUAUACAAAAGUGGAAAUCAUCCAAUUGCCUGACUUUGAAUCUUAAUCAACUUUAGAAUAAUUUUGUAAGCUUCCCCCUUUUUUUCCUGCGCACAUCUAACAGCUGCCUCUUCAAACAACCUAUAUCCUUCUUCACGACAUUUAUUUCUUGCUUGACCACCUCAAUUCUAUCUCUCAUCAAUAUAUACUACAUAAAAAUCUUUAUAUUUUUCAAAAAUUGUAUCCAUCCAUCUUUAAAAGAUUUGUGGAGCAUUACAAAAGCAUUACAAAGUUCAAAAGGCAUAACUCUCCAUUGAUAAUGGCUUUUAAGAGCACUGAAAGCUGUUGAAAUUUUUUGACUUUUCAGUUAACAUUAUUUGCCAAAAUUCAAAAUUUUACUAAAAUAUUUAACAUUUUUUGCUAAAUUUAUUAGUACAUCUUUUCUUGGAAUAAAAUAACCAUCAAAUAUUAAAUGUUGAUUAAGCCUUUUAUACUUUAUUACAUUAUGGCUUUUCCUCUUUUUUGCUUAGCAUGAUUUCUUUCAUCGGUAGUAUCAUAAUUAAACAUAUAAUAAUAAUUAAAUUUUUUAAAAGGUUCUAUAUGUGUUUCAUAUAUUUCUUUUAUCAUAUUUAAAUAAUCAAUCAUUUCUUUAGGAACAAUUGCUUUUUUUAUUUUAUACUUAAGAUGUUUUAUAAAACUUUUAUAGGAUUUAAAAUUCAAUUGUUCUGCUUUAAAAUUUUUCGUUGGUUAGGAAGAUGAUGGUUUAUCAUCUUUAAGUGUAAAAAUAGCAUUACCAUAAUAUAAUGGUCUAAAGUUAUUUGUUUGACUUUUAUCAACUUCUAAUAAUUUAAAUUUUUUAUUAAUAUUUACUAAUAACUGUUUAGAUUCUCGGUUUAAAUCUAAACUAGUAACUUGUCUUAAACUAUCUAUUUUUUAUUCUAGUAUAUCAACUUUAGUGAACAUAUUUUUAAAGAAAAUAGUAGAUAAAUCAAUUAAACUAUUUAUACUAUGACUGAUUGUUAGAAUAUGAUUUUUUAAUUGAAAAUCCACAUGUAGACUAUGAUUAUGAAGGUUUUUUUAACAAACAUAGUUUUCAAUUUCUUGCUACAUGCUAUUGGUAUCUAAAACCGUUUGUAUGCCAUACCAAGAUCUCUAAAGCUAGAUUAAAAGGCAACAACAAAGCCACAACACUAGCACGGAGAUAAUAAACAAAUAUGAGUUUUAAAACAUAAAGCUAAAAAUUAAAAAUUGAGAAAGUAAAGAAAUACUUAUAAAGAUAGUUUGAAAUUGGAAACCUCAUAUAGAAUAUAGGUAUAUCAACCUUGAUAUAUAUAAAUACAAACUAGAAAUAGUUAAGGUUCUUUGAUCGUAGAUAAGAUUCUGAUACCAAUUACAAGAGAAAGGGGAUGUGAGAAAGAGAUAUGACAAGAGAGUACAGAAAAGAGGGAGAGAGAUGGGCUAGGUAUCCGAUCCCUCUCUAAUACAAUCUUCAAUAUUUAAGCUUAACAAAUUUUGUUCUUAUCUAAUUAUGAAGUUAGGCUUAAAGUUGGUAGAUAUUUAUUACAAAAGAGAUAUUUAUAUAUCCUUAUCUGCUUUUGGUAGAUUUUUUGGUCAGGUGAUAGGCUGACUGUUUGGCAGUCUAGAUGGUUUAUCAACAGCAAAUGUUAACUUUCUGUUAUCUUGUCCAUCUUGAAUACUCACAAAAUUUAUAAGUAAGAUAGAAAAAUCAAUUGUAUGUCACCUUUUUAAGGACUGCAUAAAACAAUGGAAUUCAGUUUUUUGUUCAAUUUAUCAAUUAAUUUAAUAUUGUACCUGAUUGUUUAUCUCUUCGACUGAUGAUAGACCUGAAUCACAAUGAUCACCUAAUUUCUUAUGGCUGGCAUUAACCUCUUUCAAGAGCUUCUUCUCCAUGGCCAUGUUAAUGGUUCCAUGAUGCAUUCAAAAACACAAGAUCUGGGUCAAAAUUUAGCCGUCCUGUUAGGCCUCCCAAAGCAGGAAAAAAAAUAACAGAAUCAAUUAAACAAUUAAGUCUAGGAUUCAUCCUUACAUGGUUAUUAAUCUUCUCUUAGAGAGAUAUGAAUAUCUAAUAGUUGAUUCAUAUAAUCACCCUUAAGAAAUAAUAUCUAGCGACAACAAAUCUAGAAUUCAAAUUUGUAGCGUUGCAAUCUCUUUUUUUAUCUCAUGUUGCCACCUUAGAAAAUGUGAAUAUAUAUCUCACAGUUGACAUCAUAAUAUUGGCAGCCAUGCGCACAAGUCACUUGAGUUCAACUCAAGUAACAAGGGUAGGUACAAUCAGAUUUGAGUAGAGAUCUUUAAGCGAUAACGCUCUUGUACCAAAAAAAAAAAAAUCCUAGCCACAUUUGUUUUUAAUUGUUGAAUUGUUAUAAUACAACUGAAUUGAUAUAAUUAAGCCUAACUGUCUCUCCUCUAUCUUUUUUGUGAUUCGAAAUAAAUGUUCAUUCAUGUUUGCCAGCAGCUUCAUAGCCUUUUGAAUUCCAGAUUCUGGAUUGGGGUUUUCCUGAAGCGUCACAAGAAUUAAGUCAUGAAUUCGAUUGCUCUUUCUAGUUCUAACAGGUUGCAACCCUUCAUUUUUAGGUUUUGCAUUAUUUUGUGCCACCAUUCCUUCACAUGCUGGAGUAGCCCUGAUCCUGUGCCUAAAUCAAACGAAAGUGAAAAAUGAAAAUUUUGGAUAAGAGCUUGGCAUAAAAAAAAUGCGGGGUCUCAAAGCAAUUCAGGGUUGAUAGUGAUCUCUUGUUCUUCACUGAGGAAGCAUUAAGUUGUCUAAUUAUUAUAUAAGAAAAUGAUGUGAUCAGGAAGACGAUUAUUUGCUUCUUACUUGUCGAGGUCCUUGUAUCACGGACCUAAGGAAGAGUCUUGAAUCCCACAUCGAAUAUAAUAGGAAGGUCACUGGGGUAUAAAAGGGUUCACACCACCUCCGCCUUGUGAGGCGCCUUUUGUAGGACAAAACCAUGAGGCUAGAGGGGGCUAGAGCGGACAAUACCUCACAAGGGUGUGAACCGUGGCAGGAAGGCUGAUUUGGGACGCCGGAAGGGUGAAUACCCGGGUCCCGGAGCCUCGCGGGUUCGGAGCUUAAGUCUCGACCCAUGACACUUGCACCUAGAUCUAGCAAUUUGUAUAAUUAUGUGGUGUAAAAUACUAAAAUUUUGUAUUUGUAUAAUAAUUUAUAUAAAAAUUAUCUGUUAUAAUUUGUGUCGACAUGAAAAUAUAAUAUAUAUUUUUUGUUUUCUUAAAUUCAUAUAUAAUAAUUGUUAAAAUUUUAAAUCGUGUCAUCUUUAUAUUUAAUUUUCAUAUCGUAUCAUCAUAUUAUGAUUUAGAUUGUCAAAUCAACUUACAUCUCACACCAAGUAUAAAUUAACCCAAACCCUGCCAACAAUUUUUUUUUUUUUUAUCAAUUCCCUUUGAGUUAGUCAUUUGUCAAAGAUGCUCAAUGCACCAUGAACCAUACAAGAAUAAAAUAACCACAUAACUAAAUAAAACAAGAUGAUUUCUCAAUUUCUAAUUCUGAUUGACAAGUAUCUUGCUCAUCUCGCAACUUAUGGAGUAGGAAUCAUUGCAAUUUCAUUUUUUUACACAAAUUUCAUAAAACCUAUAUAAAAAUUUGACAAUAUAAGAAUUAAAUUGAAAAAAUACCUAAAAGUAUAAUUUAUGUGUAUGAAAUAUCUGAAUAUAACAUUGUCCAUAUAAAAAUGUGUUUUAUAACUCGACAACAUCUAUUUUAACAAUUGGUUUUAGAUUAAUUUUUGGUACAAAGAAAAGCCCAAACCUAGGGGCUAAGAUAAGAGAAAUUGUACCAGACAAAUAAAACAUUGAAAUGAAGUUAUUGCUUUCUUGUUUUUGAAUUAAUUAAUAGAGCUCUUAUUAUGUAACUUCUUGUUUUAGGCAAGGAAAUGUGCCUAAAAUUGUGUUACAUUGUUUGAAUUGCUCUUGAUCAAAAUUUAAUUUUUAUCAAUUCUAGAUAUAGGAAAAAAAUUAUCAAUUCUUUUUUUUUUUAAUUUUGUUUACUUUACUUUAAAAAAUAUGUCGCUUUACUAAUUUUGAUAAUAGAAUUCAAAAAUUUUAUUGUCUGAUAAUUUUUCUAACAUUAUUUAGGUGUUAUUUAGUUUUUUACAUGUUAUAUUAAGCUAUAAGACAAAAUAUAAUCCUUUUAAUUUCAUCUUAAAUUUCAAACCUACUACUUUCAAGAUGAAAUCUUAAACUUAAAGAAUUCGGAGGAUCCCUUACCUUUAUUAGUUUGGUAUCAAUUUUUUUAAAAAAAAUAAUAUUAAUUAUUUGAACUUAACUGCAUGUAUAUAUUUUUAUUUAUGCAUGAAGAUAUAAAAAAAUCAUAAGUUUCAACAUUUUUAAAAUUUUCAUUUUAAGAUUUUUGGUAGAUAAAGAUAUUUAACUAUUCAAUUUAAUUUAGUAAAAAAUAGGUAAAUUGAUAUAUUUUAGUAGAUUUUCUUCUAAACAAAUCUAAAUUAUUUAAAUUUAAGUGUAUAAAUAUUUCCUUUUUUAUAUAUGAAGAUAUAAAUAUAUAUAAAGUACAACAUUAAUUAAAAAAAAAAGAAAAAGAGUCUUCUAAUGGGCUAAUUACUUGACACUCAUCAAGCAAUUAUUAAUUUUUUUAUAAUUUUUUGUAAUUUUUUCAUAAAAACAUUUUUUGAAAAACAUUUUUAUUAAUUUUUAAAAUUUCUAUUGCAAUUUUUUACCCAAAAACUUUUUUAUCUAGUGCUUAUUUAAAUAUUUUAGUUUUAUCUUUGUUUUUUAUUAAUAUAAAAAAAUUAUUAAACAUCCAAUCAUAAGAUGACAAAUGUCAUCAAAUUGGAUGCCCUUAUAAAUAGCAACAGAUUUGACGACCACUUUUUUUUUAUUAUUUAGUGGUACGAGGUUGCUACAUUCUACCAAGUACAUCACUUACUAGACUGCUUUAAAUAAGUUUGUUUAUGUUAGGCCUAGCAAAUUCAUGAGAAGUUAUCUUCUCGUAGUCUUUCAACAUAUUCGAACGUAGGUAACAAACGGGAAACAUACUUUUUUACCACUUGAAUUAAUCAUAUUUUGAUAGAUUUGGAAACUAUAAAUAAUAAUAAUAAAUUUAUUAAAAUUUAAAAUAAAAUUUAAUUGAAGGUAAUUAUAAAGCAACAUGCAUCAUGCAAUAAAAGCUUCAAUUGAACAAUUAUUUGUGGUUAUAAUUAGAGAAUAACUUUUAUAUUAUGUAAAUUAACAAUAUAUGUAAAUAUUGCUCAUCACUAAUGGAGUUUAAAUUUUAGAGAUUUAAGAUAGUGUUGGGUCUAGUAAUUAGUAGAUUUUACCUUUUGUGAAAAAUCAAAAAUUAAAAUUUAAAAGAUUAUCCUCUAUAUAUGGUUGAUAAUUAUGAGAUUUUGUUUUAAUAAUUAAAGUAAGGGUUUAAACUUUAUAAAUUUUAGGUUCAAAUGGCACCACAUAUUCAUUUAAUUUAAUUCUAUAUUGGUUUUACCUAUUAAUUUAUUUUUGUACAUAGAAUGGGCAUAGUUUAUGAGGGAAGAGAGAGAAGAUCUUGGUUUGGAAAUCAAGAUUUCUACAUCUUGUAAAAACUCUUUAAUCACUAAAUCAAGAAGCUGAGGAUAAAAUAUUUUGUAAUAUAUUAUUUAAAUUCAAACAAAAUAUUACACACACUUUGUAAUAAUAAUGUUAAUGUUUAUGUAAUUAGAUUAUAUAUAUAUAUAUAUAUAGAGGGAAGGAAUCAAUUUACAAUGGUAUAAAACAUUUUAGUUUAACAUUUUUUUUCUAAUUAUUAUUUUAAUAGAUCUAAAGGAUGAAAGACUCAAGUACCAAAAAAAAGUUUAAUCUUAUCUCUUGAAUAUAUUAAAAUUAAUAAUUAAAAAAAUAUAAAACUUUUUUGGUGUAACUUAAUUCUUCUCUCUCUCUCUCUCUAUCUCUCUCUCUCUCUCUAUAUAUAUAUAUAUAUAAUUGGUAGUCUAUGCUUUAUAAAUUAUAAACCAAUAACAACCUAGAUAUGUGGUGACAUCAUGUUUUUAACAUCUUAAACUAAAACUUUUAAAUUAAUUCCUAAGAAAAAAAAGGAAUAUUUUUCAACCAUAUGCAUUUUAUGAUAAGAAAUAUAUAUAUAUCCUUUUAACAAAAAUUCAAAAAUAUAAAAAACUUAAAUUUGUAUUUACUAGACCAUGUAUACUAUAAUUAACUUUGAUACAUAUUUAGAUCUCAAUACAAAUAUAUAAUAUACUUAUAUAUUAUUAGUCAAAAGAUAAGUAUUUUUAAUAAAUAAAAAAUUUAAUAAAAUUUUUAUUAUUAAAUAAGUAUUCAUCAAUUUAAAUUAUAAACGAUAUUUUUAACAAAUUUUUUUUUACAUAUUUUGAUCUUCUUAAUAAACUUCAUCGAACAAUCAAUUUUUAUUUUUUAUUUUAAUUUUUUAUUACAUUAUUUUUAAUAAAAAAUUUCACAAACAUCAUUUAAAUAACUUCCAAAAAAUUUCCCUACCUUAAUAUUACCUGGCCACCAACUCUUCUCUUUUGUUCUUUCUUCUAAUAAAGUAACAAUAUAAAAAAGGUUUAAGGUCCACAUAAUUUAACUUUACCAUCGUUCGAGUUGCCUUUGGCUUUUUUUCUAUAUAGUCAAAAGAAACUUUCAUAAAGGAAAAUAGAGUGGCCUUUUUCAUUAAAGAUAAUAUUGAAGUCCACGUCACUCAAAUUUCAUAAGAAAUUUAUUUAAGAUUUAUUAGAUAUUGCUUGAUGGAUAAAUUUGACUUGUAAAAAAAUAAUUCUAAGAGGAAAAGAAUUUUUAAGAGAUAAGUUUAUAUGACUAUAAAUAAUUGAAGUUUUUAUAGGAUUAAGUAUGAGACAAAGAUGUAAGAGAAUUGUAAUUUUUAUGAAUAGAUACCUCAUAAGAUUACUAAAAAUUUACGUCUUAUGAGUGUAUAUGUUUGAAUGUUUGUGAGUGGAUUAGAGGAGACUAAGAAAGUUCGCAUAGCUAUGAUAUAUGGGUGCUUAUGGGUAUGUGCUUGGUUGUGUUAAAAAGGUGUACAUGGAUAUGUGUUUGUUUGAGUUGAGAAUACUCCGUAGGAUUAGAGAAGAUUGAGAGGAUCUAUGGGUAUUAAUUGUUGCUUGGUUGAUAUGUUUAAUGUAUGUUUGUAAUUCUCUAUAACUAGUGGAUCUUAUUUUUCAUCUGUAGACGUAGGUCAGUUGGACUAAACUACGUUAAAUUAUUAUUUCUUAUCUAUUUGAUUAAUUAUUUGAUUAUGUUUCCGUUGGCUUGAUUGGAUUAAGGCCUUUUUGCCUAACAAUAUGCACCUGCUACUCCUCCAAGUCAUUUCUGAUUAAUUUCCAUUCCGCCAAUGAAUUUCUUGGUGGGUUCCUAGUCAUUAAUUUGAAUAGUAACGACGAUUAGUAAUGACCCUUAUAUUUUAAUUUUCAGAUGGAUGUACAGAGUUUCCAAAAACCAUUUUAUCCAUUGCAAUUUCUUGUUUUACUUUCCAUGGCUGCCAAAGGUUUCUCUGAAGCAUCUUCUUCUAGCUUCAAAUGGAACCAUGAUGUCUUUCUAAGUUUCAGAGGCGAAGACACUAGGAAGAACUUCUCGGAUCAUCUCUACGCAGCUCUGGUGAGACAUGGAGUAGUUACCUUCAGAGAUGACGAUGAACUUCCCAGGGGAAAAGACAUCUUCUCGGAGCUCCUCAAAGCAAUUGAAGAAUCAAAACUUUCUAUAGUGGUUUUCUCUAAAAACUAUGCUUCUUCCAGGUGGUGUCUUGAUGAGCUUGUCAAGAUUAUUGAGUGCAAAAACACAACAGGUCAGGUUGUUAUUCCAGUCUUCUACGAUGUUGAUCCAUCUGAUGUCCGGAAACAGAUGGGAAGUUAUGAAGAAGCUUUUGCUAAACACGAAGAACGGUUUAAAGAUAAGAUGGAAAGGAUCAAAAAGUGGAGAGAAGCUCUUACAGAAGCCGGAAAUUUAUCCGGCUGGGACCUUCGAAACAUGGCAAACGGGUAAUAUUUAAUUUCUAAGAUGAAUCAUCCAAAAAAUUCUAAGAUAUAUAUAUAUAUAUAUAUGUGUGUGUGUAUAUAUAUGUAUAUUUACAUCUUCGUUUUUAAACAAAAAAAUUAAAUGAAACUAAUUUUAAUUGCUAGUUAGUUCUAUUAAAAUUAUAAUAUGUACUUAAUUUUAAGUUCUUGUAGUCAAUUUACAUCUUACUAUAAAUUUUUUCUUUUAUGUUUGACGAUUUAAACCUUAAAAUUAAAAGCGGAAAUUCUACUCAAACUAUAAAUACCUGGAAAAAUGUGUAAUUUAUUUCUGUUGUAAAAUUGUUUGUUUGAAGUGUAUAGUGAGAAUAUAUCAUAUAUAAUUAUUGAAGUAUAAUUAAUCAAUUAUAAUUUAGUAUUGUGAAGUGUGCAUCAAAAAACUAUUUAAAUCUCAUUAUAUUUUAAGUGAUGAACUCUUAAAUAAUAUUUUAUUAUAAUUGAUUAAUUGUAGUAAUGUAAUCAAGAUAAUUAUAAAAAUUAUAUAACCAAAAGUGGGUGUUUACUGUUAGUCAAAUUUACUUAUGUUUUUCUUGUGUUCUUUCAUACGUUUUUCUUGGGUUCCUUCAUUGCAAAUGAUUUCACAGGUAUGAAUCGAAAUUCAUCCAAGAGAUUGUCGAUGAUGUUAUCAGAAAAUUUAACCGCAAUAUUCACAACGGCUUGCACGUCGCCACUCACCCAGUAGCUCUAGAAUUACGUAUCAAAAGGGUGAUGAAAUUACUAGAUAUUAGAUCUGAAGAAGUUCGCGUAGUGGGCAUCUAUGGAAUGAGCGGGAUAGGUAAGACCACCAUCGCAAAAGCUGUCUACAACCUAAUGGUCUGUGAAGGAUUUGAAGGAUGCAGUUUCCUUUCAAAUAUUGAAGAUGACUCACAGCUACCUAAUGGUCUAGCUAGGAUGCAAGAGAAGCUCCUUUCUGAUAUCUUGAAUGGGAAAAAAUUCAAGAUAGAUUAUAUUGACAGGGGUGUCAAUUUAAUCAAGGAGAGGCUUUGUUGUAGAAGAGUUUUUAUAGUUCUUGAUGACUUGGUUGAGUCAGCACAAUGGAGACCAUUAGUUGGUGAUAGGAAGUGGUUCGGUCGAGGGGGUAGGAUUCUCGUCACAACCAGAGAUGAACAUUUGCUGACUGAAUUAGAGGUGGAUGAAAGAUAUAAGGUUCAACAAUUGAAUCAUAAGGAUUCAAUUCAGCUUUUAAGUUGGUAUGCAUUUAGGAGGCCUGCUCCAGAUAAAGAUUUCUUCGAACUUUCCAACAGUUUGGUGGAGCAUGCUGAAGGACUGCCGUUAGCUCUUGAAAUUUUUGGUUCUUCUUUGUUUAAAAGAAGCCUACCAGAAUGGGAAAGUUUUCUGGAAAAAUUACAGAAGGUACCUCACAAAAAAAUUCAAAAGAAGCUUAGGAUAAGCUUUGACACACUAGAUGAUGAUUUAUUGAAAGCCAUAUUUCUUGAUAUUGCAUGUUUCUAUAUUGGGAUGGAUAAAGAUUAUGUGAUGACAAUACUAGAUGGUUGUGGAUUCUUUCCAGAAAUUGGCAUGAAAGUUCUUCUUGAAAGGUCUCUUAUAGCAAUUAACCCAUUUAAUAAGCUAGAAAUGCAUAACCUACUCCGAGACAUGGGAAGAGAGAUUGUUCAUGAAGUAUCACCAUCUCACCCAGGAUAUCGCAGCAGGCUUUGGUUUCACCAGGAUGUAGUAAAUGUAUUAACGAAACACAUGGUAAAAUGUUAAAUGCAUUUCGUAAAUAAAUCUAAAAAUGUGCUAUACUUAACUAGAAUUAAUAAUAUUCUUUAUUUGUAUUUAGGGGACGGAAGCUGUGGAAGGUCUCAGCUUAGGUGUGCCAGCACUAGAAGAUGAUCUUAUAAGCACCAAAGCAUUUGCGAGGAUGAUCAACUUAAGAUUGCUGAAAAUCGAUUCUGUACAUUUCACCGGUUCCUGUGAAAAAAUUUCAAAAGAAUUAAGAUGGCUCUGUUGGUGUCGAUGUCCACUAAUGGUUCUACCGCCCAAUCUUUAUCUAGACAACUUGGUUGUUCUUGACAUGCAAUACAGUAGUAUCAAAAAAGUUUGGAAGGAGACAAAAGUAAUUAAAAUCACUCUCACAAUGCUAUGUUUUUUCUUUUUUUUUUUUUAUAUUCUAGAUCUUUUUUUCCUUAGCGCAUAUUAUGGAUUUACUGUUAUUUUCUUUUUCUUAUUUCAACAGGCUCUUCACAAGCUUAAAAUACUAGAUCUGAGCUAUUCGGUAUACCUUGGAAAGACACCAAACUUUGCAAAACUCUCAAGCCUACGAAGACUUGAACUUGAAGGUUGCACAGGUUUAGUUGAGGUUGAUCAAUCUAUUGGACAUCUGGAAAAACUUGAAUUCUUGAAUUUGGCAGAGUGCAAGAACAUAAGUGAACUUCCAGACAGCAUUUGCAACUUAAGGUCUCUUGAGACAGUGAACCUCAAUGGUUGCUCAAAACUUUGUAGUUUGCCAGAGCAUUUGGGUAAAUUGGAAGCUUUGAGAAAGCUUAUUUUAAGUGGAUCUGCUAUUACAGAGUUGCCUACUUCGAUCGGACUUUUGAAGAACCUUGAAGAUCUAUCUUUGGCUGGACUUAGAAAAGAGUUACCUUCUAAGUCUUGGUUCUCAUACUUUUCCUCAUGGAUC
Molecule: long non-coding RNA, 39501 nt
Filed under: Durio zibethinus
Lineage: Eukaryota; Viridiplantae; Streptophyta; Magnoliopsida; Malvales; Malvaceae
Description: long non-coding RNA (DZIB_LNC001566)
Source: RNAcentral